Molecule: unclassified non-coding RNA, 263 nt
Filed under: plant metagenome
Description: partial contains small subunit ribosomal RNA, internal transcribed spacer 1, and 5.8S ribosomal RNA
Source: RNAcentral
UUUCCGUAGGUGAACCUGCGGAAGGAUCAUUAUUGUAUAACCGAGGUGCGAGGGCUGUCGCUGACCCGAAAGGUCGUGCACGCCCGAGUGCCCUCACACACUUCCAUCUCUCCCCUAUGUGCACCACCGCGUGGGUCCCCCUUUGGCUUGUUCGGAGGGGGGCUUACGUUUUCACACAAACUUUGUAUGCAGUGUAUAAUGUAUUUUUUGUUUUUGCGAUCACGCAAUCAAUACAACUUUCAACAACGGAUCUCUUGGCUCUC